This 200-nucleotide unclassified non-coding RNA is filed under the name soil metagenome. RNAcentral describes it as "partial contains internal transcribed spacer 2 and large subunit ribosomal RNA". The record is from RNAcentral.
CGUCAUUUCAACCGUCAAGCCUGGCUUGGUGUUGGGCGUCUUGUCCCGUUGCAUGCGUGGACUCGCCUUAAAAGAAUCGGCGUCUGUAUGUUGGCCUGAUGCGUAGCACAAUUCGCAGACCAGGUGGGCGUACCGGCGGCCGGAAUGCUGAUUAUAUUUUGUUUGACCUCGGAUCAGGUAGGGAUACCCGCUGAACUUAA